UGGGGAAUAUUGCACAAUGGGCGCAAGCCUGAUGCAGCCAUGCCGCGUGUGUUAAGAAGGCCUUCGGGUUGUAAAGCACUUUCAGCGGGGAGGAAGGCGAUAAGGUUAAUAACCUUGUCGAUUGACGUUACCCGCAUAAGAAGCACCGGCUAACUCCGUGCCAGCAGCCGCGGUAAUACGGAGGGUGCAAGCGUUAAUCGGAAUUACUGGGCGUAAAGCGCACGCAGGCGGUCUGUCAAGUCGGAUGUGAAAUCCCCGGGCUCAACCUGGGAACUUCAUUCGAAACUGGCAGGCUAGAGUCUUGUAGGGGGGGGUAGAAUUCCAGGUGUAGCGAUGAAAUGCGUAGAGAUCUGGAGGAAUACCGGUGGCGAAGGCGGCCCCCUGGACAAAGACUGACGCUCAGGUGCGAAAGCGUGGGGAGCAAACAGG
Molecule: ribosomal RNA, 429 nt
Filed under: Chloroflexota bacterium
Lineage: Bacteria; Bacillati; Chloroflexota
Description: Chloroflexi bacterium partial 16S ribosomal RNA
Rfam family: Bacterial small subunit ribosomal RNA
Source: RNAcentral